This is a non-coding RNA of Oryza nivara, 204 nucleotides long. NCBI's taxonomy places the organism in Eukaryota, Viridiplantae, Streptophyta, Magnoliopsida, Poales, Poaceae. The record is from Rfam.
AAAAAGACAAACCAUGGGUUUCCGUUUCCAAUUUUGACUAUCCGUCUUAUAUGAAAUUUUUUUAUAAUUCGUAUUUUCAUUGUUGUUAGAUGAUAAAACAUGAUUAAUAUUUUAUGCGUGACUUGUCUUUUUAAAUUUUUUUUCAUAAUUUUCUCAAAUAAGACGGACGGUCAAACAGGCACGGAAACCAGGGUUUGUCUUUUU